AAGAGGCAAUCCCGGGUGGGCAUCUGCGGGACCGUCCAGAUUUGCAGCUUGGGAAGUAUGGAUGCCCGCCACGUAGUAGAGAGAGAAACGGUGUUGUCAGAGUCUACAGAAGCCUAGCGGUGAGCGAAAACAUGGAGAGAGAAUAGAGAAAAUCGUUGGUCUUUCAGCCUUCAGAUCGGCAGGAGCUGGUGUCCUCCCUCAGGACAGCGCCGGCGACCAUGGCGCUGGCGGUGCUGGCGAACCUUUCCGAAGGCACAGGGCAAUAGAUUGCGGCGGGAGCGGAUCCUCAGAUACGGCUUGACCACUGAUGCUAAUGGCAAGCAACGAAUUGGAGUAGUAGUUUGGAGGAGCGGGAUGCAGAGGGUCACAGGGAGUGCCAUGGAAAGGGACACGGUGACUAGUUUGUCGGGCCAGAGUAAAUCGGGUGAACAGAACUAUAUGAGCCAGCACAAGGGGCUAGACUUACCUGCAAUGGCCUUGGCAUAAGAACAAUCUGAACCGGCAGAAGGGGCAAGACUUACCAGCAAUGGCCUUGGCGUAAGGUACUCAGGGCCUGUUUUCUUCCACUUGCUAAACUUUAGCACCCGUCACAUCGAAUGUUUAGAUACUAAUUAGGAGUAUUAAACGUAGACUAUUUACAAAACCCAUUACAUAAGACGA
Setaria italica (foxtail millet) is the source of this 660-nucleotide long non-coding RNA. RefSeq lists it as uncharacterized. The transcript is spliced from 4 exons. NCBI's taxonomy places the organism in Eukaryota, Viridiplantae, Streptophyta, Magnoliopsida, Poales, Poaceae. The record is from RefSeq and is a predicted model, not a curated record.